GGAAAAUCUUUGAUCUUGACCGAUCACUCCCUAUUCCAAAACGCAGGGUAAAGCCCUUUUGAAAGAGUCUGAAAACUUCUAACGCUGAGUUGUUUAGCGGAGCAGCAGUGAGAGGAAACAUAGCUAAAUACCCACAGAAAGGUUCGAGGACCGCUAGUUGAUAUGCAAAUCCUGAAACUAUAACAUAGACAAAUGUGUUGUUCCCGCUUAGGCAAGAAACUGGCCAAUACGUGUCGUUCUUGAUCAUCCUCGUACACUUCACAACACUAGCCCAAAACCGUCCCUCUAAAUAAUAAUCCAUUUCUCCUAACAUAGAGUAUGACAGAGAAUGGAGAGGAAGACCGCAAUUGCCACUGGCUAAGCUAGCAUCCACGACUUGUAAGGUCCCGAAGGCAAAAU
This 399-nucleotide long non-coding RNA is filed under the name Phoenix dactylifera (date palm). RNAcentral's name for it is "long non-coding RNA (PDAC_LNC007927)". Lineage: Eukaryota; Viridiplantae; Streptophyta; Magnoliopsida; Arecales; Arecaceae. The record is from RNAcentral.